Molecule: ribosomal RNA, 201 nt
Filed under: uncultured bacterium
Lineage: Bacteria
Description: partial 16S ribosomal RNA
Rfam family: Bacterial small subunit ribosomal RNA
Source: RNAcentral
GUAGUCUGCAACUCGACUACAUGAAGCUGGAAUCGCUAGUAAUCGCAGAUCAGAAUGCUGCGGUGAAUACGUUCCCGGGUCUUGUACACACCGCCCGUCACACCAUGGGAGUCGGGAAUGCCCGAAGUCAGUGACCCAACCGCAAGGAGGGAGCUGCCGAAGGCAGGCUCGAUAACUGGGGUGAAGUCGUAACAAGGUAGC